Molecule: non-coding RNA, 21 nt
Filed under: Rattus norvegicus (Norway rat)
Lineage: Eukaryota; Metazoa; Chordata; Mammalia; Rodentia; Muridae
Source: RNAcentral
CAGAAAAAUAACAAUGGCAGG